UUACUUAUAUUAGCAUGGACUCAUGGAUAUUUACUUUAUAUUUUGGUUAUUAUCCAAUACUACUUUAUUUUAUUCCUCAAAUUGUUCCAGCUUUGGCCACUUGGAGCUCCUUCAGUUGGCCCCUAUGUCCGUUUGACAUAGCCCCAUCAUUGUGGGAUUUUCUUCUUCUUCUUUUUUAAAUUUUGAGCAUUUCCUUACUAGAUGCGUAUGCUUUUUACCAUAAGCUUUCAUACUAAAAUUAAGAAGAUUUGGGGGCUGAGGGUAGGAGAGGAUAGGUAUUCCUCUGAAGUCUGAGGAGCUAUUAUUACGUAAUUUUCUUUAUAUAAAGUCUACCCUUUCUAUAUGAUCAGUCCUUCCUAUAUUUAGCUACAAAAAUUUCCCUUUUCCAUCAGUCUGUAGUAACAGGGUCCUCAUUCUCCUUUUACCAGAAACUUCCAACAAAAGCACAGAAUUUGGGAGAGUGCCCAAGAUGGCAGAGUAGGAAGACCCUGAGCUCACCUCCUCCCAUGGGCACACCAAAAUUACAACUAUUUACACAGCAACUGUCAAUGAGGAUGACCCAAAGACUAGAAGAAAAGAUCUUCUAAAACUACAGAUAUAAAGAAGGAACCACAAUGAGACAGAUAUAUGCUUUAUUUUCUAUUGUGAAAAUAUCUAGAAGUGGAAUACUAGAUCAUAUGGUGAGAUCAUGCGACUGAUGGGGCAACUUCUGGAUUAUGUGCAUCGUCCUCUUCCCCUGCCGCUUCCCAUGGGCUGGAAUGAAGACGCGGUGGUCAUGGCUUCCAAUUCUUUACUUACUAGGGGGAUGUAACGGAACUGUCGGUUGAUAACGUAUUAGAUCCCUUCAGCUGCUAUUACAACUCAGCACAAACUUAGUGACUUAAAACAACACAGAUUUAUUCUCUUAUGGUUCUGGAGGUCAGAAGUCUGAAAACGGUUUCACGGAGCUAACGUGAAGGAGAAAGGUGAUCAAAGAAAGAUUUAUGUAUAAAAUGCAUUAGUAUAAAUUUCUGUGGGGGAAGUGGAAUGGAUACACAGGUUCCAAAAGAAAAUGAAACAAUACGAAAUUUCUGACAGGAAGCGUAUGAACAAAAAGUUUGAAGACAACUACUGAUGGGCCUGCUUGUCAGGAGAGCAGCACCCCGUCCAGCCCCUGGCAAGGGGGUUUUGCUUGAACCACAGUGAUGAGAAGUUUCCUUGGGCUCUUGGACUAAUAAAGUAUCUCAAUGGCUAGUCCCAGUUCCGUCAAAAUAACAACAAGGAAAAAUACCCAGACUCCUCUAUUCACCAGCUCACUCAUUCCCUUCCUACACUGCCCAGCCAGAGAUACUUGUCUGCAGUUCAUCAGGCCGGAGAACCUCACACUCUGGUUGCCAAUACAGAGUGCUUGGUGGUAAGAAGAGGCCUCUUAAUGGAUCCAAAUGUUAAGUUCUUACCAGAAGUUGCCACCAGGCUAGAUACAGAUAUUGCCAACUCCCCCAUCAGAAAAACAAAAGCAAGACUCUAGGCACCCAUAUUCAGAGCUUGUUAUGAGACUACUCUUAUGAGCGUAUAUAUAUAUGGUGAUUAUUUUGGGUAAACGGGAGUAGAUAAAUAAAAUUCAAAGUAAACUCUU
Molecule: long non-coding RNA, 1615 nt
Organism: Balaenoptera acutorostrata (minke whale)
Lineage: Eukaryota; Metazoa; Chordata; Mammalia; Artiodactyla; Balaenopteridae
Exons: 5
Source: RefSeq, a predicted model, not a curated record